This is a long non-coding RNA of Ictalurus punctatus (channel catfish), 563 nucleotides long. Lineage: Eukaryota; Metazoa; Chordata; Actinopteri; Siluriformes; Ictaluridae. The record is from Ensembl.
CACUCCUCAUCACACACACACACACACACACACACACAUACUGCACUGAAUUCAGGUGUAAUCCGACUGAAAUGGAAAUUGCGCUCCUUGAAAACGGAUGAUGAGAGGAAGAUGGCAGGGCCGGCGUCGUGCUCCAUCAGAGAGGGUCAUGGGGGGCCUGGAGCCUAUCCCAGGGGCACAAGACAGGGGACACCAUGGACAGAGUGCCAACCCAUUGUAGGGCACAAUCACACACACAGUACAGACAAUUUAGAAAUGUCAAUCAGCCUACAACAUAUGACUCUGCUGGGUGGAAACCAGGAAGCAUGGGGAGAACGUACAAACUACAAACGGAGGCAGGAAUCGCACUCCCAACCCUGGAGGUGCGAGGCAGACGUGCUAACCACUAAGCCACCGAGGAACUACUACUGCCCCAAAUUUCAUUUUAGAGUGUAUAGACCUCUAAAUGAAAAAGACCUGUUCUUUCUCACUGAUACAAGUAGCAGGAUCAGCUCUGUUUGGACCUCUAGAGCAAGGUCAUCCCACUGCUCUCUGCUCCACUUACAAGUGCCCCCUUUUCAUAG